UGUGCCCUUCCCAGCUACCUCCAGUAACAAGGAGGCGGGGCGACUACAGGGCAAUUAACCAAUGGGCACUAGAUGCAUCUUUUAAAAACCCUGAGCCAACAGCAUGGUAGUUCCUGCUGCUUUGGUGUGUGUGCCAGACUGGCCACUUUGGCCACACACAUGGGCCUCAGGCUAAGGCCUAGCUUUGAUGUAGCCACCUUGGGCCUGCUUACAGGUAGCAUGGCCUUUAACCCUGUGCUGCUCCAGGUGUAGGUCGUGCUGCUGUCUUGUCUUGUCUUGUCUUGUCAUGUGUUUUUGUUUUCUUUUGAUAUUGUGUUAACUUACUGUCUUGUCUGUUUAGUUUCAUUUUUUUUUGGGCAUAACUUCCAAGGUAACAUCGGGUUUUAUCUGGCAAGGAGCAUUAGUUUAGAGGGUGGCUAGUCAUAUACUAGUGUGGUGCAUUUGGCACUUGUUUGCUGUGUAAUCCAGAAUGUUUGCUGUGGACUGUUUUAAGUCAUGGGUUGCUGUGAUGAAGGUACACUUUCCAGUAGCAUGCCCCCUUUAGUCACUGUGAGCACUUGCCAGUCUCGUCCCGAAUAAAUAAAAGAACUACCUUUUUG
Molecule: long non-coding RNA, 599 nt
Organism: Engraulis encrasicolus (European anchovy)
Lineage: Eukaryota; Metazoa; Chordata; Actinopteri; Clupeiformes; Engraulidae
Exons: 3
Source: RefSeq, a predicted model, not a curated record